This 253-nucleotide ribosomal RNA is filed under the name uncultured bacterium. RNAcentral's name for it is "partial 16S ribosomal RNA". It matches the Rfam family "Bacterial small subunit ribosomal RNA", at positions 524 to 776 of the family's 1533-position model. The record is from RNAcentral.
UACGGGGGGGGCAAGCGUUGUUCGGAAUUACUGGGCGUAAAGGGCUCGUAGGCGGCCAACUAAGUCCGACGUGAAAUCCCCAGGCUUAACCUGGGAACUGCGUCGGAUACUGGAUGGCUUGAAUCCGGGAGAGGGAUGCAGAAUUCCAGGUGUAGCGGUGAAAUGCGUAGAUAUCUGGAGGAAUACCGGUGGCGAAGGCGGCAUCCUGGACCGGCAUUGACGCUGAGGAGCGAAAGCCAGGGGAGCAAACGGG